AGAGUUUGAUCCUGGCUCAGAGCGAACGUUAGCGGGAGGCUUAACACAUGCAAGUCGAGCGAGAACAGGGACUUCGGUCCCUUAGUAAAGCGGCGGACGGGUGAGUAACACGUGGAUAAUCUGCCCUUUGGCGGGGGACAACAAUUCGAAAGGAUUGCUAAUACCGCAUAAGUCUCUACGGUCUCCGGACUGUAGAGGGAAAGAUGGCCUCUUCUUGAAAGCUAUCACCGAAGGAUGAGUCCGCGUAGCAUCAGCUUGUUGGUGGGGUAAUGGCCUACCAAGGCGAAGACGCUUAGCUGGUCUGAGAGGAUGAUCAGCCACACUGGGACUGAGAUACGGCCCAGACUCCUACGGGAGGCAGCAGUGGGGAAUAUUGGACAAUGGGCGCAAGCCUGAUCCAGCCAUCCCGCGUGAGUGAUGAAGGCUCUCGGGUCGUAAAGCUCUGUGGGGAGAGACGAAACCUGAACGGUUAAUACCCGUUCAACUGACGGUAUCUCUUUAGCAAGCACCGGCUAACUCCGUGCCAGCAGCCGCGGUAAUACGGAGGGUGCAAACGUUGCUCGG
This 564-nucleotide ribosomal RNA is filed under the name uncultured deep-sea bacterium. RNAcentral's name for it is "bacterial SSU rRNA". It matches the Rfam family "Bacterial small subunit ribosomal RNA", at positions 8 to 548 of the family's 1533-position model. The record is from RNAcentral.